This 480-nucleotide ribosomal RNA is filed under the name Enterococcus faecium. RNAcentral's name for it is "bacterial SSU rRNA". It matches the Rfam family "Bacterial small subunit ribosomal RNA", at positions 68 to 519 of the family's 1533-position model. Lineage: Bacteria; Bacillati; Bacillota; Bacilli; Lactobacillales; Enterococcaceae. The record is from RNAcentral.
GCUUCUUUUUCCACCGGAGCUUGCUCCACCGGAAAAAGAGGAGUGGCGAACGGGUGAGUAACACGUGGGUAACCUGCCCAUCAGAAGGGGAUAACACUUGGAAACAGGUGCUAAUACCGUAUAACAAUCGAAACCGCAUGGUUUUGAUUUGAAAGGCGCUUUCGGGUGUCGCUGAUGGAUGGACCCGCGGUGCAUUAGCUAGUUGGUGAGGUAACGGCUCACCAAGGCCACGAUGCAUAGCCGACCUGAGAGGGUGAUCGGCCACAUUGGGACUGAGACACGGCCCAAACUCCUACGGGAGGCAGCAGUAGGGAAUCUUCGGCAAUGGACGAAAGUCUGACCGAGCAACGCCGCGUGAGUGAAGAAGGUUUUCGGAUCGUAAAACUCUGUUGUUAGAGAAGAACAAGGAUGAGAGUAACUGUUCAUCCCUUGACGGUAUCUAACCAGAAAGCCACGGCUAACUACGUGCCAGCAGCCGCG